This 468-nucleotide ribosomal RNA is filed under the name Triticum aestivum (bread wheat). RNAcentral describes it as "partial small subunit ribosomal RNA". Lineage: Eukaryota; Viridiplantae; Streptophyta; Magnoliopsida; Poales; Poaceae. The record is from RNAcentral.
AUGUGCUUACCCCACUUUCCGAUCACUAUCCAGAUCAGCUGCUUCAAGAUCCAUGGUUGUUACUCUCCGUGUGAGAACCCAUUUGGCCAGCAUCUUCUGCCGUCGCUCGGUGUAGAUCUCAGCGAGGUACAUGAAGAACAGCGCCAGAAUUAUGGUGCUUGUAAUUAUCCAAAACACCGCGAAAGUGCGCCCCAAUUGGGACGAGAAGCUUUUAUCCCCAUAACCCAGGGUAGUGAUUGUGGCACAGACACAAUAAAAGGAGUCAACAAGGCUCAGCUUCUCAACCUUCCAGAGAAAAACAGUCCCCACAACAAUGGCCGUCACAAGAAGCAGAGCGGCCGUGUAGAAUUUGUACUUUGUCUUGUUUGUCUCAAUUUGUCUGAGCAUUUUGGCCUCGCCACACUUCAUGUUCAUGUGCAGUGCCUUGAAGAACAACACCUCCUGCUUCUCGACGAGAUAGUCUGCUGA